Long non-coding RNA from Cyprinus carpio (common carp), 1659 nucleotides. NCBI's taxonomy places the organism in Eukaryota, Metazoa, Chordata, Actinopteri, Cypriniformes, Cyprinidae. The record is from Ensembl.
CUUCUGUCGUCACUUGUCAAGAAAAGUCUGCUUUGGAGUAUUACUGCCACCUGGAGUGAUGUACUGUCCUGCCAUGGCCUAGCCAAAUAUAGCUAUGUAUCAUAUCCAUAAAUACAAAUUAUUUAUUUUUAUACUUUUUGCAUAAGAUGAAAAAAUUAACACAAGUGAAAUUUACAUGCAUUCUAAUUAUUCUGUUUUCUACCCAGAUCACAUUUAAAAAAUGUUAUUACAAAAAAAACAGUUUUGAACUUAACCUUUACAUAUUGACGAUCGAUUGUCAAUAUUAGCCUCAGAAACAAUUCGUACUAACACGCGGUUUAUAUUUAUUAUUUACGAUAACAUAAUUAGACAUGCGAUCGACUACUGAACAGAGACAAGGGGGCCUGGAUAAAAAAUAAAAUAAAGUAUAAAAAAAACUUAUAAAAAAAUAACGCGGCGACGUACAACAGUGACGCGAACCGCACGAGAGAGACUAUCGUUGCCAUAGAUACACACAUUAAACUAAUGUAAAUAUGAAUCGAAGCAAGAAGUAGAAACAAAUUAUCAGCAAGUGUCCCUCUCUUCGCGGAAUCCCACACAAAAGGAAAGAAGUUGUUGUGUAACAGGCAUCAGUCCACAGGGUGAAGCAGAAGUCGAAUAGCUUUACAUAGACUUACAUAGACAACGACACACAGCAGAACUCUCAGUGCCACUGACAUCAUGGACAAGUCUAGAUUUUCAGACAAUAGUUUACAAUGUGGGUUAAAUUCUACCCCUGCCAUGCAAACAAGAGGAAGAGGAGGAGACCAGGUUAUGGACAGCAGGUCCCAAGCAACCACAAACCUUAAAGAGACCGUGCAUCUUGAGGAGGAUAAUAAGAAAGAAAAUAAAGCCAUGAAGCAUGAAGCAGGCUGUGCUAAACAAACCCGUAAGUGUCCAUUUGAGGCCUAUUUAGUAAAGUGCACACAAUUAGAGAAGGAAAACCUAGAGGUUAAAAAGAAGCUUAAAAAGAUGGAAAAAUAUUCCAGAGAAUGCAAAACAGAUCUGCAGAGAUUUGUGGAGAAGUUUAAAGAGUUUAAAAACAUCAACAAAGACCUGGACACAAGGAACAAACAACUUCUUAUUAAAAACCAGCAAAUGAGGCAAAGAAUUACAGAGGUCUUAAAGCAGAACAUACUUCAGUCUGAAGAUCUGGAGACAGUCUCAUGCUGUGAACACCAGGAGAAGCAGCAGCUCAGAGAAACAGCCGUUGUUCUCCAAGACAAGGUUAAGAACUUAACGGAACCAGUCAGGAAAUCUCAAAGAAUGAAACGGGAUUCAGAAAUAGUCGAAGAGAGGAAGACAACGCAGCUACAACAGGAAAACCAGACUCUAAGAGAGAGACUGGACCGCAGCAGUCAGGCCAUAAAAGAUGCUGAAAGUAGAGCAGAGAGAGUUCAGGAGCAGCUGGAUGAACUAGAAUGCUGCCUGCUCACUGUAGAGACGGAGAGGAAUCUACUGCGUCAGGAAGUAAAGAGGCUCCAUCAGGAAUAUAUCAGCCUUACUAACAGCAUCUCACUGCAGCUGAAAGGAAACAACAAACCCUCAGAGAGCCUUGCUUUACAGUCCACCACAGCAAAGUCCCCCAGCUCAGCAUCCUAUAAGAGGAGACACAACAUAGCAGAUAAAUGUUCAAUUUGA